Molecule: small RNA, 111 nt
Filed under: Variibacter gotjawalensis
Lineage: Bacteria; Pseudomonadati; Pseudomonadota; Alphaproteobacteria; Hyphomicrobiales; Nitrobacteraceae
Description: EcpR1
Rfam family: EcpR1
About the family: Perviously named SmelC291, SmrC10, or Sra33.
Source: Rfam by way of RNAcentral
UAGCCCUACGGAGUGCUCAGGUCCGCCGCAUCUCCUGGGUCCGUGGGGUUCGGCCGGUUCGAGUUCGGUGCGAGUGGCCUCCUCAUGACAUCGCGCUCGGCCGGCCACCUU